Long non-coding RNA from Bos taurus (domestic cattle), 731 nucleotides. NCBI's taxonomy places the organism in Eukaryota, Metazoa, Chordata, Mammalia, Artiodactyla, Bovidae. The record is from Ensembl.
GUGAGUCCAGGGUGCAGGCAGGGUUGAGCCCACCUGGAUGAGGUGCUUGAGUCCAUCAUCUCAGUGAAGACGGGGUGAUGUUAGUGAGCAUGUACAGUCUUCCCUCAGUAUCCCUGAGGGAUUUGUUCCAGGAUUCCCCAGAGAUACCAAACUCCUCAGAUGCUCAAGUUCCUUAUGGUAUAAGAUGGUGCAGUGAGGUCAACCCUCCUAUUUGCGGUUCCACAUGAGCAGAUUCAACCAACUGCAGAUGGAUCUGGUUGGUUGACUUGCAGGCUGCAGAAUUCCUGAAUACAAAGGGCCAACUGUGUGUUAUAGAAGAGAAAAAAGCUGACCCAGCCCACCCCGCAUUCUCCUAGAGGGGAAUACUUUGAAUGGCGCUUGUCACCAAUGUGCUUAAGUCCAAAGCCAGGGAGUCCUCCUCCUUUUCCCUUCCUUUAGUGAUGCUGACCCGGUUGUUUACCAGAGCCAAGGAGGAAGGACCAGCUGGCUCUGCCCUGAUGCUGCACAGCUCAUGACGGAUGGAUUCCAGCCCUACUUAUCCUCCCUGUCCUGUGGGGCCCAAGGCAGGUUGAUAUGGAAAGAUGGACAUUUACAUCUGAGCAUGUCAGAGAGAAGUCAGAAGCCUAAAGAAACUUGCAGGGAUAUUUGCAACCUAGUUCCUGACAAGAUGGAAAGAUGAACACAGGAUCCUUCCCUGUCAUGGCUUCGCUCAUAGUAGACACUCAAUAAAU